AGAACGAACGCUGGCGGCAGGCUUAACACAUGCAAGUCGAACGGUUGUAGCAAUACAGCAGUGGCGCACGGGUGAGUAACGCGUGGGAACAUACCUUUCAGUUCGGAAUAACAGCGGGAAACUGCUGCUAAUACCGGAUAUUCUCUCCGGAGGAAAGAUUUAUCGCUGAAAGAUUGGCCCGCGUCAGAUUAGCUAGUUGGUGGGGUAAUGGCCUACCAAGGCUCCGAUCUGUAGCUGGUCUGAGAGGACGACCAGCCACACUGGAACUGAGACACGGUCCAGACUCCUACGGGAGGCAGCAGUGGGGAAUAUUGGACAAUGGGCGAAAGCCUGAUCCAGCCAUGCCGCGUGAAUGAUGAAGGCCUUAGGGUUGUAAAGUUCUUUUGUCAGGGAAGAUAAUGACGGUACCUGAAGAAUAAGCACCGGCUAACUUCGCGCCAGCAGCCGC
Molecule: ribosomal RNA, 448 nt
Filed under: uncultured bacterium
Lineage: Bacteria
Description: SSU rRNA
Rfam family: Bacterial small subunit ribosomal RNA
Source: RNAcentral